This is a long non-coding RNA of Bos taurus (domestic cattle), 1113 nucleotides long. Lineage: Eukaryota; Metazoa; Chordata; Mammalia; Artiodactyla; Bovidae. The record is from Ensembl.
GAAUGAAGGAAUGAACACUUAGAAGUCAGAGGAAAUCCAGGCAAAGAAAGCAAGCAUAUUGGCCAGGGAAAUGGUGAUGAUUAUGAAUCAGGAAGACUCAGGAGCUUGAAGAUUACUUAGCAAGAAUGGGGAUGGGCACGAGGACACCUCUUUUCUGCUCAGGACUCCAGCUUAGCUGAGGAUGUGAUCCACCCUUCUUGCAACCAUUUCUGAAGAAUGUGGUCAGAAAGCCUCCAUCUUUCUGGUAUAAGCAAGUUCCCUAAAAUGAGAGUGAUCUGCCAAGAGGAGAAGCCCGAGAGCAAUGGUUAUAUUCUCCCUACUGGCCAGAAUGCUUUGUGUUCCGAACCAUGAGACAUGAGGACGUUGACUGUGGGAAGUGCGCAUCUCCGUUUCAUGUGGACACAGGGACUUAACCACCUUCGAUUUCCUUUUCCUGAACAGUCUUUGCCCAUAUCCCUUCAAAUACCCUAUGACUCGAGAUCCUCUUGGCCACCCUUGUUGAUUACCAUUAGUUUGCCCUUCUGAGAGAAAACCCCAUACAGUCACCCGUCAUCUGAACUUCGCUGCUCAAGAAUCAGACACCUCCUCUUGUCCCUUUCAGAACUGGCGUGGACUCAGGAACCGAACAUCCUGGACAUAGACAGUCCAAGGCAGGGACAGUACAUAACGCCCUUCCUGCAAAGGGCUACGGACUCAGCCUCCUCUAUGAAUCUUUCCUUGUCAGACCGUCUCUCCCAGGCUACCGUGAAAACCCGGGGAUUUGGGGCCAACACUUUUUUAGCAAAACAAAGAGGACUAUGACUUUAUUUUCUCUGUACUUUUUAUCUUGGGGGGGGGGCGGAAAGCUUGAUAGAUCAGCAGCUAUUUUAAGGGUUUAAAAAAAAAUGUAGGAUAUCAUUAGCACAAGAUUGCUUACAAAUGUGCACAUUAUCUUCCAAAAUGGCACUUUCUUAGUGUCUAGGAGAUUUAAAAAACUGUAGGAAUAAAAGAAAAGAAACAAGUGUCUCUUUAAGUGUCCUAUAUUCUUUUCUCCCACUCCUGUCCCCUGUCUCAAUUCUGAAGACAUGGUAACUGGAAGGGAUGAAUCCUCUGGAGUCAGAAGGCCAACCUUAC